ACGGACGGCAUUCAUGCGAGUGGCUAAAUCUUUUCAAUUAACGAAGGAUCUAUUAAAGAACAAUUUGCGAAACUGCAAUAAUAUAUUUCAAAGAACAAAGAGUUAACUUUGAGG
This 114-nucleotide unclassified non-coding RNA is filed under the name uncultured marine bacterium. RNAcentral's name for it is "partial contains 16S ribosomal RNA, 16S-23S ribosomal RNA intergenic spacer, and 23S ribosomal RNA". The record is from RNAcentral.